This 492-nucleotide ribosomal RNA is filed under the name uncultured bacterium. RNAcentral's name for it is "partial 16S ribosomal RNA". It matches the Rfam family "Bacterial small subunit ribosomal RNA", at positions 29 to 507 of the family's 1533-position model. The record is from RNAcentral.
AGUGAACGCUGGCGGUAGACCUAACACAUGCAAGUCGAACGGCAGCACAGUAAUAGCUUGCUCUUACGGGUGGCGAGUGGCGGACGGGUGAGGAAUACAUCGGAAUCUACUUUUUCGUGGGGGAUAACGUAGGGAAACUUACGCUAAUACCGCAUACGACCUACGGGUGAAAGCAGGGGAUCUUCGGACCUUGCGCGAUUGAAUGAGCCGAUGUCGGAUUAGCUAGUUGGCGGGGUAAAGGCCCACCAAGGCGACGAUCCGUAGCUGGUCUGAGAGGAUGAUCAGCCACACUGGAACUGAGACACGGUCCAGACUCCUACGGGAGGCAGCAGUGGGGAAUAUUGGACAAUGGGCGCAAGCCUGAUCCAGCCAUACCGCGUGGGUGAAGAAGGCCUUCGGGUUGUAAAGCCCUUUUGUUGGGAAAGAAAAGCAGCAGGUUAAUACCCCGCUGUUCUGACGGUACCCAAAGAAUAAGCACCGGCUAACUUCGUG